RNAcentral lists this ribosomal RNA (673 nucleotides) under uncultured Escherichia sp. RNAcentral describes it as "bacterial SSU rRNA". It matches the Rfam family "Bacterial small subunit ribosomal RNA", at positions 59 to 722 of the family's 1533-position model. Lineage: Bacteria; Pseudomonadati; Pseudomonadota; Gammaproteobacteria; Enterobacterales; Enterobacteriaceae. The record is from RNAcentral.
AAGUCGAACGGUAACAGGAAGCAGCUUGCUGCUUCGCUGACGAGUGGCGGACGGGUGAGUAAUGUCUGGGAAACUGCCUGAUGGAGGGGGAUAACUACUGGAAACGGUAGCUAAUACCGCAUAACGUCGCAAGACCAAAGAGGGGGACCUUAGGGCCUCUUGCCAUCGGAUGUGCCCAGAUGGGAUUAGCUAGUAGGUGGGGUAACGGCUCACCUAGGCGACGAUCCCUAGCUGGUCUGAGAGGAUGACCAGCCACACUGGAACUGAGACACGGUCCAGACUCCUACGGGAGGCAGCAGUGGGGAAUAUUGCACAAUGGGCGCAAGCCUGAUGCAGCCAUGCCGCGUGUAUGAAGAAGGCCUUCGGGUUGUAAAGUACUUUCAGCGGGGAGGAAGGGAGUAAAGUUAAUACCUUUGCUCAUUGACGUUACCCACAGAAGAAGCACCGGCUAACUCCGUGCCAGCAGCCGCGGUAAUACGGAGGGUGCAAGCGUUAAUCGGAAUUACUGGGCGUAAAGCGCACGCAGGCGGUUUGUUAAGUCAGAUGUGAAAUCCCGGGCUCAACCUGGGAACUGCAUCUGAUACUGGCAGGCUUGAGUCUCGUAGAGGGGGGUAGAAUUCCAGGUGUAGCGGUGAAAUGCGUAGAGAUCUGGAGGAAUACCGGUGGCGAAGGC